AUUGAACGCUGGCGGCAGGCCUAACACAUGCAAGUCGAACGAGUUGCGGACGGGUUAGUAAUGUCUGGGAAACUGCCCGAUGGCGGGGGAUAACUACUGGAAACGGUAGCUAAUACCGCAUACCAUCGGAUGUGCCCAUAUGGGAUUAGCUAGUAGGUGGGGUAAUGGCUCACCUAGGCGAGGAACCCUAGCUGGUCUGAGAGGAUGACAAGCCAAACUGGAACUGAGACACGGGCCAGACUCCUACGGGAGGCAGCAGUGGGGAAUAUUGCACAAUGGGCGCAAGCCUGAUGCAGCCAUGCCGCGUGUAUGAAGAAGGCCUUCGGGUUGUAAAGUACUUUCAGCGAGGAGGCGUUACUCGCAGAAGAAGCACCGGCUAACUCCGUGCCAGCAGCCGCGGUAAUAC
RNAcentral lists this ribosomal RNA (406 nucleotides) under uncultured bacterium. RNAcentral describes it as "partial 16S ribosomal RNA". It matches the Rfam family "Bacterial small subunit ribosomal RNA", at positions 30 to 526 of the family's 1533-position model. The record is from RNAcentral.